RNAcentral lists this ribosomal RNA (479 nucleotides) under uncultured bacterium. RNAcentral describes it as "partial 16S ribosomal RNA". It matches the Rfam family "Bacterial small subunit ribosomal RNA", at positions 28 to 507 of the family's 1533-position model. The record is from RNAcentral.
GAUGAACGCUAGCGGGAGGCCUAACACACGCAAGCCGAGCGGUAGAGUCUCUUCGGAGACUUGAGAGCGGCGCACGGGUGCGGAACACGUGUGCAACCUGCCUUUAUCUGGGGGAUAGCCUUUCGAAGGGAAGAUUAAUACCCCAUAAUAUACUGGAUGGCAUCAUCUGGUAUUGAAAACUCCGGUGGAUAGAGAUGGGCACGCGCAAGAUUAGAUAGUUGGUGAGGUAACGGCUCACCAAGUCAGCGAUCUUUAGGGGGCCUGAGAGGGUGAUCCCCCACACUGGUACUGAGACACGGACCAGACUCCUGCGGGAGGCAGCAGUGAGGAAUAUUGGACAAUGGGUGAGAGCCUGAUCCAGCCAUCCCGCGUGAAGGACGACGGCCCUAUGGGUUGUAAACUUCUUUUGUAUAGGGAUAAACCUAGAUACGUGUAUCUAGCUGAAGGUACUAUACGAAUAAGCACCGGCUAACUCCGUG